Molecule: ribosomal RNA, 253 nt
Filed under: uncultured bacterium
Lineage: Bacteria
Description: partial 16S ribosomal RNA
Rfam family: Bacterial small subunit ribosomal RNA
Source: RNAcentral
GACGGAGGAUGCAAGCGUUAUCCGGAAUUAUUGGGCGUAAAGCGUCCGCAGGUGGCUGUUCAAGUCUGCUGUCAAAGCGCAGAGCUUAACUUCGGAAAGGCAGUGGAAACUGAACAGCUAGAGUAUGGUAGGGGCAGAGGGAAUUCCUGGUGUAGCGGUGAAAUGCGUAGAGAUCAGGAAGAACAUCGGUGGCGAAGGCGCUCUGCUGGACCAUAACUGACACUCAGGGACGAAAGCUAGGGGAGCGAAUGGG